GACGUAGGGCGCGAGCGUUGUCCGGAUUUAUUGGGCGUAAAGAGCUCGUAGGCGGCUUGUCGCGUCGUCCGUGAAAACCCACAGCUCAACUGUGAGCUUGCGGUCGAUACGGGCAGGCUAGAGUUCGGUAGGGGAGACUGGAAUUCCUGGUGUAGCGGUGAAACGCGCAGAUAUCAGGAGGAACACCGGUGGCGAAGGCGGGUCUCUGGGCCGAUACUGACGCUGAGGAGCGAAAGCGUGGGGAGCGAACAGG
This 253-nucleotide ribosomal RNA is filed under the name uncultured bacterium. Its description in RNAcentral is "partial 16S ribosomal RNA". It matches the Rfam family "Bacterial small subunit ribosomal RNA", at positions 524 to 776 of the family's 1533-position model. The record is from RNAcentral.